UUGUUUUUGCUUACGUCUUGACACGUGUAAGUAAUGACGGCUGAGAUUAAUCCACACCAACAGCUUCCUUUCAACUCCUGUUUUCCCAAUGCUUUUACCUUCCUUCUGCUACUCUCUUUUCUGAUCAAUCCAAGCCAUAUCUUCUACCCUAUUUUCGUCCUUGUUUUUGUUUUUGUUGUAAAUUCUCUUCAAUUUUUUAUUUUUACUCUUGAAGAUCUUACCAAACCUUCUUCUAUCUCCGUUUUAUUCUUCAAUCUCAUCUUGCUUUUUAUUUUAAUGUUUGCCUUUAUGUUUUGAUUUUUUGGAUUACUAUUCACAGGUUUUGAUUUCCAUCCACAAGGUUAGGUGAUUUGCUUUUAAAGAAAAUCAGGUACGUGAGAACACCCAUUGAAAGGGGCUUCGAGGAUUGAGGUGCUCGAUUGAAUUCUUCGGUGAAACAGGUAUGUUCUUUUAUGCUUUUUUUAUGAUUAAUUAGGUAAGAUUGGGUUUUGGUUCUUGAUUAAUGUUUUUAGGGUUUGUGUAUCAUCUUCAAUAAUCGAUUUCAAUUCAAUUUGGGUAAAAAGAUGGGUUUAUUUUGGUGAUUAAUUAGGUAAGAUUGCGUUUGGUUCUUGAUUAAUGUUUUUAGGGUUUGAGUAUCAUCUUCAAUAAUCAAUUUCAAUUCAAUUUGGGUAAAAAGAUGGGUUUAUUUUGGGUGAAAAAAUGCUGGUAAAUUUGGAGAUAGUAUGGAAAACCUUGGAAGAUGUGUUGGGCUAUUCUUUAAGUGGUUUGCUUUAGAGGAGUCACACACCAUGUUUUUGCCUUCAAACAAUAGAACUCCAAGACCAGUACACCAAUAUUGUCAACAAGAUAGCGAGGGACUAGGCAGUGAUGGUUGUUUGGUGUAUCGGUUGCCUUUCUUUCUCUUUAAAGUUGAACCUUUUCAUUUCCAACAAUGUGAAAUAUCAAUGGAUGAACAUACUCAUUAGUAGUUGGGAUCAUAGAACAAGUAGUUAGAUAAAAUGUUGUUUUAAAUAAACUAUAGAUAAUUUUGUUUAUGAUUUUGUGUAAUAUGUAUUGUAUACUACAUACCUCAUCUUUUAAUAGUUGCAACAUUUUUUCCAAACCUGUGAAAGUUUUUUUGGAGAAAUGUAGCAACUUUUAAAAAGAUAGAGCAUAUAUAUGGUGAAAUUGUAUUUUUCUCUUCGGAAAAAUAAAUACAAACUCUAAACAUCCCAAACGUUUAACCUAAUUGUUUGAAACACGUGAAUAUAUCUGGUAGAAAAGUAUGUGAGCAUAGGUGGCUUGCAUUAUGUUUGGAAGAUAUUAGAUCCAUGAAAAUUUUGGUUGUAUUUGUUACAUGAGUUGUGUUAUUAAAAUACAGGAGUUUUGUCCAAGAAUGAAAUAUGAUGGUUGAAAAAUGUUACAUUUUCUGACUUAUUCUUGUUCAUCUUUAUUUUUUUAUCUAACUAAUAAUUAAUUUCUGUCUUAGAAUCCUCGUUUGAUGAUUGUGGGUCUUAUAAACUUUUUCCAUUGCCAUACUUGUGUGUAUCUUUUAGUUAUUAAUAUCAAACUGACAUGUCAAGAAUCCUUUAUCCAGUUUGCAUUUGGACUGUGGCUUGCGUGGGAGACAGGGGACAAAAUGAUGAGUUCUUUUGCAUGCGUCUGAACUCUCGAUUUUAAUUUUUUAUUAUUAUUAUUAUUAUUAUUAUUAUAUUAAUACAGUAUGUUGAUUGUUGAGGGAAGAGGGCUACAAGUCUACAACUAUUCAUUCGUGUUAUUAUGUCAAGUUAAUAUUUUUUUUUGUUUUUCGAUUUUUUAUUUGGUUUUUGACAUGGAAAAAGGGAUUUCCGUUAAUUUACCGGCUUAAAAUCAGGGUUUUUGUUUAUUUCUACUACCUUACCUGUUCAUAUCUGAUUGGCGAUUCAAAUGUUGCCAACACUUGAUCGGAAUUAUAUAUGAGUUUUGCUUAUUUCCCAAUUCUUGUAAAAAGUAGGUUGUAUUUACUUUUAUGAUGCUUUUGCAUCUCAUGCCGAUAUAUCGCAUUUGAAUACUUUCUGAAGCUACACAUGCUGCUAACACUGCUAUUGCUAUAUUCAAUGUAAGCCUAAUUUUCCUUUUUUGUGGUUUUGAUGGUGAUUUAUUUGAUUUUUUUUUGGUAUUUUUUUUUGGUUGAUUUAGUGGUUAGGAUCAUUUUUUAUUAACUAUAAUUUGUUGAAUUUGGAAUUUGAUUAGAAUUAUAUAUGAGUUUUGCUUAUUUCCCUCUGGAUUUACUAUAGUUUUUGCUACUUUUUGUGAACUAAAAUUGGUAAUUAUAAAUUGGUAAUUCUUAUAAAAUUUGAUUGAUUGAUGUGUUUUUAGAGGAUUAGCGGCAUAUUUUUUUUGCCUUUUAAUAUUUUAGGUAAGGUUUUAUGGAGUUGAUUGUUUAAAUUUUUAAUAGUUAUGGUGAUAUGGUGAUGAGAAAUGUAGGAAUAUUUAUGAGGUUUUUGGAAUCUAUGAUCAUGAGGAUUCGUACCAUUAAUCAUGCCCGUGGAUUUAGCGAUGGAAAAACACAUGAUCGACUGCAAAAGAGUGCCUUAUUUCUAUUGUCUUAUACACAAGAAGCUUGCUGUAUAUGAUUUUGUUGAGGGUUCACCUGUAACUAAAUUUCUGUUUCAAUAGUCAUUAUUAAGGUCUUUACACUCCUUGAUGAUAGCAAUAGGAGCAACAACACACCUUUGAGACACUUACAAUACCCCUGAGUCCAACAAAAAUAGUGAUGAUAAAUGACAACAACUUGGACAACCGCAACGUCAAAUACAUCAAAACAAUAUUCAAAAACAUGGAUGUCCACAACAGCAAGCAACCCACAACAGCAACAAUAGACAAUAACAACACCAACAACAUAUUCUAUUUGAUAUCAUCCUCAAAAACUAUAGUUGCAAGAUUUGAAUUAGAAAGUGCUGGUGAGGUUAGAAAUGCUUUCUUAUUGCUUGUUUUGAUGAUGUAGGUUUUCAGUUAUAAUUAUGAAUACAAGAACAUUGUCAUCAUAUUGGUUUAGGCUUGUUGUUGUGUGUUAGAAGAUGGUCAUCCAUUGUGUGGUAGAAUGAUUUUUAGAGCCUUAGAGAGGUCUAGGGUUCCUAUUCUGUGUUAUAAUUUUUUCCAGCAGUGGGUCAAUGUAGUUGAAAAUAUCGUUUAAGUUCAUUACUUUAAAUGAAACAUAUAAAUUCAUUGACUCCUACUGAAAAAAAUACUUCAACAUCGUGAUCGACCUCUUGAAGUCCAAAUGACUAUCUUCUGCACCGAGGCGAGUUUUACAAUAACUCAAACUUGAGGUCGAUGCCGCCCAUUCCAGUUUUAAAAAGACCUCGAACUUGAAGUUUAGUACAUGAUUUCGAUUUAACCCCUGCGCUGUUUGGCAAUUCUUGAACAUUAUAUGAAUUACGAUUCUUACUCUAAACUGCAUUUACAGUGACUAGCAAGCGUCUUAUUGUGAGGUAGUACUGCAAAAAAUGCAACCACCAGUGCUUGUGUCCAUGUAAAAGAAACUAGACUUCAAACUUGGUUAGUUUUUCUUUCUCCAUAAAAGUGAACUAGUAGCACUUUUACUAACUAUGUUUUGGUUGCAAAUCUUGUUAGUUUUACCAUAGAAUUGCAAGGAUAAGAAAGGUAUGUCCUAUUAAAAGUUGCAAAGUCUGUUAAUUUUAACAUUAUCGGUGAGUGAACUUCUUGGAUCCUUCUUCUAAGAUCAUUUUUUGUUAAAUUAAUUGCGAUAACAUUAUUAGGCUAUUAGCGAUUUUUUAUUUAUGUGUCUUGUUAUUAAUUAUUAAUGUGUGAUUAAUUUGUUGUGUUGUGAGUUAUGACUAAUGAGAUUUAAUUUGUUAGGGUUUAAAUUAUUGAAGUUAAACUUAUGUUAUUUAGUUUGUGCAAUUAAUUUUAUAUUGAUCUCGAUGUAUUUCAUUCAUUGGUUGGUUGGUUGGUUAUCAUUUCAUCCAAAAAUUGAUAUUUAUUUAGAGGUAUGGACAAUGAACACAUCAUGUAAUUAUUCUUCUUUUUUUUAACUUACCAUUAGGUUUUUGAUAGGUUUUUGGGAGACAUUGAUGAUAGCCAGCUCUCAGAAAUUUAUGGACGCAAAAUGUUCAACUUAAAGCAAUGUGUCAAUUGCUCUGUUUCUCUUAGUUUUACUUGCCUUAUAAGUAGAUUGCAUUAAUUUUAUUUAGCUUGCAUUGUAUUCAUGAUUUUGUAAUGGAUAUAGUUGAUUACAAGUUGAUAUGUUGUUUAUUAGAUCAAUGAUGAUAUAUCUAAUAUCGAUUUUGUACCUUAGAUUUGGUAUAAUAUGUUACAACAUUGAACAACUCAAACAGGAAUCUACAAUCAAAUGCUUGGAUUGGUUUAUGUCA
Amaranthus tricolor (Joseph's coat) is the source of this 4355-nucleotide RNA transcript. RefSeq lists it as uncharacterized. The transcript has 4 exons. Lineage: Eukaryota; Viridiplantae; Streptophyta; Magnoliopsida; Caryophyllales; Amaranthaceae. The record is from RefSeq and is a predicted model, not a curated record.